AUCUUGCAUGAAGAGAGGGUAACCUCAGCAACCUAGAAAGCAAACAAAGGUGCUAGAGAUGCGGUUUUUUAAAACAAAAAAUAUGCUACC
Molecule: non-coding RNA, 90 nt
Filed under: unclassified sequences
Description: SAM-I-IV sequence
Rfam family: SAM-I/IV (S-adenosyl methionine) riboswitch aptamer
About the family: It is found upstream of a number of genes which code for proteins involved in methionine or cysteine biosynthesis.
Source: Rfam by way of RNAcentral